GUUAUUGGGGUCGAAGACAUCAGUCAUGCACCACUCAUACGCAGCAAAACACUGACCAGGUUUCAGUACCCUAUAAAUCUCCUUGUAGCACCCAACCUAUACACAAGUAGGUCAAGUUAACAGCAGCUCGAGUGAAACUCCCCAUAAAAAACCAGAAAAGAUAAUUAUUUAUGUAAAUGAUAACAGAUUAGAAUUUAUAAAUUUACACACAGCAUCUGGAGCAUGGCAGGUUGCUUCAAUUGCAUAUAUGGCAUCAAAACUAUUGUCAGGGAAUGGCAUCUUCAUGAAAUCAGCCUGCAUUGACACUAAGAAAUGAUAAAAAGUCUAGAAAGAUAAAAAUCAGAGACAAAUAUAAGCUUGAUCUCCAAUUUCACUCACUUUCACGAAGUCACAAGUCUUGUCUACUCCUGCAACACGGUUUAGGGCCUGCAACAGUCAAAGAUCACUAAUCAAUAUCAAUUUGAACAGAACAGAAUUGGUGUAGUAUUUGAUAGCAGGGAUUUGAACUAGGAAACAAUGAUACGGAUUAUUUUUAUUUUUUUCAUUUUUCAUUUUUUACUAUUUAUGUUGUAAAGUAAUAUUGGUAUUGUUACUUGCAACAUGAUGACGAUGCAUCGACAACAUAUCUACAAUGUAUCUUCUGGUGUGUCAGUGACUGGCCUAACUCUACAAAAUCAAAAAAUAAUUGGACAUGGCACAGCGUUUCCACUACUUGUAGGUGAUGUGUAGGCGUCAUUGUCAAUGUUCAACACGUGUUAGACUCCGACUCGACAGCUCAGGGAGGAUGCUGGUUCAUACUAGGAUUUGAAGUCUCAAAAUUUGAAUUAAAUAUAAUUUCCAUUCAAAUGUGAACGGACUUUUCGCUAAUUUCAAUUCUAGGACUUCUAUUCCAACCAGUGUUUAGAUAGGAGAUAGAUUUUUAGCAAGUAAAGGUACAUACAUUAAAAGGCAUAGCAGAUCAAAAUCUCAAUACAUACCUUUCCUCUUGUUAUCUGAUACUCAUUGUUGUUGAGGCCUGUAACUGAUGUAGAACUGCAAGACAUCAAAGCAAAAGUAAGAAUCUAACUGGCAGGUCUUGGAAGUAAUUAAAUAAUGGUGGAGUAAAUCUAACAACUACUUGGAUGAUUGAAAAAUUGUAUCCGAUGCUGAUAACAAAAAUCAUCCUGCCAAGAAGUUUUGUCUUCAAGCAGUCUUCAUUAUAAGUGAAAAUGAACAAUGUCUCAACAAUUGACAAACCUUGUGUAGUCAACAAUCAACUAUAGCUUCUCAAUUUGUUCUCUAGUUUUGUUAGUUUAUAUUUAUAUACAUGAUAUAUUGUCCAUUACAUGCAUAAACUUAAGCAUCUUCAUGUUUCAUCACUGAAUGCAACGUAGCAUCCUAUCAAGCACUGGAAUAAUCAAAAUAUCAAUAAAAAACAGUAUGUUAUAAUAAUAGUAUAUGUAUAUCAAGAUGAAUACUGAUUUAGCAAGACAAACAAACAACAAUACAAUGAGCUAAAUUGUCAUCUCACCUGAAUCUAGCAAUUUCUCUUAACGGUCCACCAAUUCCACAUCCUACGUCCAAGACCUACAGAGACAGCAGAAAAUUAAAACAUUGAUUAUCAAAGAAGUGAAAGUCUAGGAUAGUUGCAAACAAAAAUCUUCAAAAUGACACCUUCUGUCCCGGUUUCAGGCCAAGCUGCAAGGCAAGGAAGUGCUCAUGCCUUUUAAUGCUCUCUUUUAGAGACUCUCCUUUCCAUCUGCAACAUAUGACAAUAAUCUCGUUUAGUGAUUCUAGAAGACACAACUGCAAUGCGUCUAGAACUCUCUCUGCUAUAUAGCAUGGAAAAGAAUAACACGAAUGCAGAGUAAUGGUUUAGGUAAUGAGAAAACCUAUAGGAGUAAAAUAUUCACCUGGGCGCAAAGUGGAAUGAUUCUCCCCAGCCAUAUUCGUAGAAACUUGUGACAAGAUCAUAGUACUUAUUUACCUGAGAAUGUGAAGUAUUCUUAGUCGAAGAUAUUUAUAGUUAAAUCAAAGUAAUCUCAUAUCCAAAAUACCUGAACAUAGUCGAGCAUAUUUUGCACACUAGCACAUAAUCACUUAAACACAUCAAACAAUUCUAAAAGUUCUAAAUACCUUAAUUUUGAGAAAAAAGAAGCUAUGAUUAUACAAAAGAGAAAAAACUACAAGAGAAAUCAAUGUGAAAAUUGGGUAAGUGAAUCCUCUCACCAUAUCGGUGUAGUUCGAUUUUCUCUCUUCCUCUUCACCUCCAUAACAAACAUGAUAUUUUUCAUACCUGUUACAUAGGAGCAAAAGGAAGACCAUAUAUUCAAAUAGGGGCGUCAAAUAAAAAGAAAAAGCUGUCAAAUUGAGCCUUCAGAAAAGAUAAUUAAGAAAUCUAGGAAAAGAAACCAAAUAACUUCAAAUUAGAAUGUUGCAAGUGCAAGAAGUACAAGGUCGAUGUGUAUUUCUGUAUAUAGCUUCUUCUUUUUUCCUUUUUUUUUUUCCUAAGUAAGAAUAUCAUAACAUCAUUGAAGAAUUGCAAAAGAGCUGAAAUUUUGAUUUUUGUUGAAGGAAAAAUUAAAUUUUCGGAAUUAUUCUGAAAUAAACUACUUAGUAAAAUUAAAUUUGAACACAUUACUUCUAUAUUUCGGAUAAGAGGCUCAGAACAAUAUAAAUUAAAUCAACUACAGGCACAGAAUAAUCUUACUGUCCACCAGCAACAAGUCCUUCUGCUGCUUUCUCCAAGAAAGCUUGAACCCGUUGACUUCCCUGUGGAGCAAGUCCCACCUUUUCAAGACCCAUGACCUGCAAUGGUAGAUGACGAACUCAAGUAACUUUUGGUUUAACACAGAACAAAAAAUACACGGGAAAAUUCAACUAAUUGAUACAAAUUCCAGUUAAUAUGGCAAAGAAAAUGGAAUGAGAAAAUCAAGUAGAUGUACAGAUUUUACCAUGUUUUUGGUGAUAAACCGUCCGAUUGCUGUCAAACGGAAACUGCUGAGCGAGAAGUGACUUUUAUCCAGAGGCAAGUACCAUGGGAGGGGCGAGUCCACUGCAAGAUCCUUCUCCCACACAACCUUCAAAAGCCAGAAAAAAGAAAAAAGAUUCCCUUUAUUAGUCCCUUGUUUUAAAUAUAUUUCAUGCAACCUAGCCAACCAGCAGCAUAGCCAAGAUUGUACCACUCACUUCAAAACCUGCUUUUUUAACAGCUUCAAGGCAUUGAUGUGUCAGCCUUAUAUCAGGAAGGCCAUUACCUAAUUCAAUUUCGGCCUGCAUCCAUAAAAAUUAUUCAAGUUAAAGCAUGAUGUAGAAACUCAAAAGCAUGCUUUGUGAUAUGAGUAUAUGACAAGCACCUUGAUCUUUUUGUGCUCUUGGUUAUUGGGGUCGAAGACAUCAGUCAUGCACCACUCAUACGCAGCAAAACACUGACCAGGUUUCAGUACCCUAUAAAUCUCCUUGUAGCACCCAACCUAUACACAAGUAGGUCAAGUUAACAGCAGCUCGAGUGAAACUCCCCAUAAAAAACCAGAAAAGAUAAUUAUUUAUGUAAAUGAUAACAGAUUAGAAUUUAUAAAUUUACACACAGCAUCUGGAGCAUGGCAGGUUGCUUCAAUUGCAUAUAUGGCAUCAAAACUAUUGUCAGGGAAUGGCAUCUUCAUGAA
This 3644-nucleotide long non-coding RNA is filed under the name Olea europaea (common olive). RNAcentral describes it as "long non-coding RNA (OEUR_LNC006051)". The record is from RNAcentral. Lineage: Eukaryota; Viridiplantae; Streptophyta; Magnoliopsida; Lamiales; Oleaceae.